This 253-nucleotide ribosomal RNA is filed under the name uncultured bacterium. RNAcentral's name for it is "partial 16S ribosomal RNA". It matches the Rfam family "Bacterial small subunit ribosomal RNA", at positions 524 to 776 of the family's 1533-position model. The record is from RNAcentral.
UACGGGGGGGGCAAGCGUUGUUCGGAAUUACUGGGCGUAAAGGGCUCGUAGGUGGCCAACUAAGUCAGACGUGAAAUCCCUCGGCUUAACCGGGGAACUGCGUCUGAUACUGGAUGGCUUGAGUUUGGGAGAGGGACGCGGAAUUCCAGGUGUAGCGGUGAAAUGCGUAGAUAUCUGGAGGAACACCGGUGGCGAAGGCGGGUUGCUGGGCUGACACUGACGCUGAGGCGCGAAAGCCAGGGGAGCGAACGGG